ACCUUGCGGCCCGGAAUCGCUAUGUUGGCUGCGAGGUUGAUGACCGGUUCAUAAUAACGUUUCAGGACCCGGGGGCGGUACCCGGCGCCUCCACCAGAAGCACCUUGCCUCGCGCAUGCGGGGACCGGAACGAGGGUGCUGCUGCUGGGGGCGAAACAGGAUCGACUGGACGGUAAAGGGAUCGCGAGUUUGGUCCUGCUUCGGCAGGAUACGAUGCGACUUUCGGUAAGGACUCGACCGGUCUGGCGUGGGCGACCCCGUUCCAGGCACCUGACCAAAACUCUAAAUGCCAACGAUAACGUUGUCAUGGAUGCCCGCCUCGCGGCGUAAGCAUCUUGCGGCAGGGUAGCCGUAGAAACAGAACCCGGAGCUUCGGCUCCGGGACCCAUCUUUUCCCGGCCUGCAGCGGCCGAUGCCUGAG
This 421-nucleotide transfer-messenger RNA is filed under the name Methylobacterium trifolii. Its description in RNAcentral is "transfer-messenger RNA, SsrA". The stretch from base 45 to 184 matches the Rfam family "Alphaproteobacteria transfer-messenger RNA", at positions 68 to 185 of the family's 355-position model. Lineage: Bacteria; Pseudomonadati; Pseudomonadota; Alphaproteobacteria; Hyphomicrobiales; Methylobacteriaceae. The record is from RNAcentral.